UACGAAGGUGGCAAGCGUUGUUCGGAAUUACUGGGCGUAAAGGGCUCGUAGGUGGCCAACUAAGUCAGACGUGAAAUCCCUCAGCUUAACUGGGGAACUGCGUCUGAUACUGGAUGGCUUGAGUUUGGGAGAGGGAUGCGGAAUUCCAGGUGUAGCGGUGAAAUGCGUAGAUAUCUGGAGGAACACCGGUGGCGAAGGCGGCAUCCUGGACCAACACUGACACUGAUGAGCGAAAGCCAGGGGAGCAAACGGG
This 253-nucleotide ribosomal RNA is filed under the name uncultured bacterium. RNAcentral describes it as "partial 16S ribosomal RNA". It matches the Rfam family "Bacterial small subunit ribosomal RNA", at positions 524 to 776 of the family's 1533-position model. The record is from RNAcentral.